Molecule: non-coding RNA, 1757 nt
Organism: Peromyscus maniculatus bairdii (prairie deer mouse)
Lineage: Eukaryota; Metazoa; Chordata; Mammalia; Rodentia; Cricetidae
Source: RefSeq, a predicted model, not a curated record
AAACCCACGAUUUCUGGACAUCACCACUGGGACAAACUUCCCUUUUUACUGAUAUUUAUAUUCUACGUAGGGAUCAGUAGAGGGGAAGGGAACAAAGAGUGAACAUUUAUUGAGCACCUACUGUAUGCCUAAGUGACAUAUGUACAGUUAUAGUUAUUUAUAGUUUUAGCAAUCUCAAGCCUAUAAAGUUUUCAUUGUUCUCUACAUUUAAAAAAUGUGUGUGUGUGUGUGUGUGUGUGUGUGUGUGUGUGUGUGUGUGUGUGUGAGAUCUGUUUAUGUGUGUGCACAUGUGUAUGUAUGAAUACCCAUGGAAGCCAGGAGGAAACAUCUGGUCCCUGGGUGCAGGAGUUCCAGGCCUUCUGACGUGGGUGCUAACGUGUGAGCGUUGGCCCUCUUGUAGAGUGGUAAGUGCUCUGGACCACUGAGCCCCUCUCCUGCACUGCCCCCUUUCCCUUCACACACACCGUACUUUAAGUUGCUACAGAAACUCUGAAGUUUCGACAAGCAUUCCAGGCACUGUAUCCUCAAUAAUAGAGUCCAAAACAGAGAAGUUGUCGGGGAGAAGGCAGAGUCCUGUUCUCUGUCAUUUAGGAGGGAAAUGUUCCCAUAGCCUCCCAUUGACAUUUUCAGAAUACCAUGAGAACUGAGAACUUACAUACUUAUUCAGCUUGCUUGUAUGGAAUCAUCUCUAACUUCAGUUUGGAAGCAUGAUGUGUUAAAAGAACUACAAGACACAAGUAUAUACAUACUGUAUAAUCUAAAUGGUGGAGAACAUAUAUGUGUGUAUACAUACACACAUGAACAGUUGAAUAGAAACGUGAAACAAAAAUCUGACAAAAGUUUAUAUGACCAAGUGGUCCCUGGUUCAGAGGGCAACUAAGUAGACCUGAGAAACCCUUUGCUUUGCUGGUGGUUGGGUAGAGCUCUGUAUAUGCUUUUAAAUCAGGAUUUAUUUUGUAUUCUGUUUCUAUUAUUUCCUCCCAAAGAAAAUGCAUGUAUUUUUCAGUGAUCUGUGCUAUUUUUGGACAAGGAAAUUAUUUUUGGAUAUUCAAAACAGCAUUAUUGACUUCUUAGGAGAAAAAAAGAAACAUUUGAUAUUUAAGCAAGAAAUGUGAACCAGCCAUUUAAAUGUUAGCAGAAAUAGGUAGGGCUUAUGCUCUGGAUGGCUUGUCAGGCUUAGCUGCUGAUUCUCAGUGCAACUCACAUCAGUCCACACUCAAAACUCUGCGCUUUUGAGGAAAACCAACUCACGAAAAGCACGUGAGUGCUGCAGUUCUCCCCAUUCUCAACAGUAUGACCAAGAGCAAGAAAGAGAAAACUGCAGAUCAUCUUGAGGCAGGUCCCCUUUUAUAGCAUGUUUGUCAAGUCUAAAUAAGUAAGAUGAGGGUGUCCUGCCACCACAGUUACCAUCUACACACCUUCAGCUACGGUCAGCUGAAAACAAAAAUGGGCUCAGUGCAUCUAAUUAUCCAAGAAAGGAUACUGAAGCGUGAUACUAAUUAGUCUGAUUAAUAAAAACCCAGAGUCAGAUAUCAGAGUGAAAGCUGAAAGAUCAGAGAAGCAGAGCAGCCAGCCAUUAACUUCUUACCUCUAUGAAAUCUCAGACCAAACUGGGCGGGAUUCAAUCUCUUCGAAUUCUCAGACUGAAUGGGGCGAGAUCCUGUCUCCACCAGCUUCAUAUUCCUGUCUCCACCUCCCUAGUGCUGGGAUCAAAGGCAUGAGAUCCCAAGUGCUGGGAUCAAAGGUGUGAGCCACCA